GCAAACUUGGUCAUUUAGAGGAAGUAAAAGUCGUAACAAGGUUUCCGUAGGUGAACCUGCGGAAGGAUCAUUAUUGAAUUAUGUUUCUAAAUGGGUUGUAGCUGGCUCUUAGAGCAUGUGCACGCCUGUUUGGAUUUCAUUUUCAUCCACCUGUGCACUUAUUGUAGUCUUUGGUUGGGGGAUUGAGAAAGAGGUCUACCUAUCAGUGUUUGCUGGAAGUGAGGACUUGCAACGGUGAAAGCUUUGCUGUCCUUUACUUGACCUUGGAAUCAUUUUCUCAUCAGAGUCUAUGUUAUUCAUUAUACCCUGUCGAAUGUUUGUGAAUGUCUAUACGUGGGCUUCUAUGCCUAUGAAAUCAUAAUACAACUUUCAGCAACGGAUCUCUUGGCUCUCGCAUCGAUGAAGAACGCAGC
Molecule: unclassified non-coding RNA, 413 nt
Filed under: uncultured fungus
Lineage: Eukaryota; Fungi
Description: partial contains small subunit ribosomal RNA, internal transcribed spacer 1, and 5.8S ribosomal RNA
Rfam family: Eukaryotic small subunit ribosomal RNA (bases 1-73)
Source: RNAcentral